Molecule: ribosomal RNA, 502 nt
Filed under: uncultured bacterium
Lineage: Bacteria
Description: partial 16S ribosomal RNA
Rfam family: Bacterial small subunit ribosomal RNA
Source: RNAcentral
GAUGAACGCUAGCGGCAGGCCUAACACAUGCAAGUCGAGGGGCAGCACAGAAACAGCAAUGUCUUGGUGGCGACCGGCGGACGGGUGCGUAACGCGUAUGCAACCUACCUUUAACAGGGGGAUAACGGAGAGAAAUUUCCACUAAUACCCCAUAACAUCGAUCAAGGCAUCUUGAUUGGUUGAAAACUCCGGUGGUUAAAGAUGGGCAUGCGUUGUAUUAGGUAGUUGGUGAGGUAAUGGGUCACCAAGCCUACGAUACAUAGGGGGACUGAGAGGUUAGCCCCCCACACUGGUACUGAGACACGGACCAGACUCCUACGGGAGGCAGCAGUGAGGAAUAUUGGUCAAUGGGGGCAACCCUGAACCAGCCAUGCCGCGUGCAGGAAGACGGCUCUAUGAGUUGUAAACUGCUUUUAAACAGGGAUAAAGCACAGUAUGUAUACUGUGUUGAAGGUACUGUAAGAAUAAGGAUCGGCUAACUCCGUGCCAGCCGCCGCAGUAA